GGCAAACUCUGAGCUGUAACCAAUCUAGCUGUUUCUGUACCUCACUUCGCAUUCCUGUCCUUUUUUGUCUAUAAAUUUGUUCUGACCACGAGGCAUCCCUGGAGUCUCUCUGAAUCUGCUGUGAUUCUGGGGGCUGCCCGAUUCAUGAACUGUUCAUUGCUCAACUAAACUCCUUUAAAUUUAAUUCGGCUGAAGAUUUUCUUUUAUCAGGUGGUGUCAGAAGUGGGAUCUGAAGCGGAGGUUCCAGCAACUCCCAGGAGCACUGAAUGAACACACAAGGUUGUAAAUGCUUGCCAGACAUCUCUGGGACAUCAAAUGGUCUCUCUUCAACUGGAAUGACAAAAGCUGAAAGAAAUGGGUGACCAUGAGGACGCUGCAACUUAUGAAUGACGUGCUGAGACCGGAAACCCAAAAUAAUGGUAACUGAGGGACCCUAAGUUUUGUUCACACUCUCACCUAAGUGAGAACCUGGCCAAAAAGGGGGAAUUUUUUAAAACAAAAUUAUGGGAAACCAUUAUUUUCGACUGAGUUCAUGUGCUAGGCCCCAACAAACCAAACCAAACUAAUAUGGAGUGACUCAUGCUAAAUAUGACAUAAUCAAGCUAAGGCUUUAAGAAAACACAGAUCCUAGAACAGACCAGGUUUUGUUUUUCUCCUGUAAACAGGAUGGUCCAGCAUAAGGUACUCUCUACUCAGUCCUUAUUCUCUCCUUGCAAAACACACUAUUCUGUUUCCCAGUAGGUUUCAAAAUCAUAUAAGUACAUUUACAACAGUAACAGUAACAUCAAUAACUAAGGUUUUAGUCAACCUCUCAAAAUUGAGAAAAUGACCAAAAG
This 836-nucleotide long non-coding RNA is filed under the name Homo sapiens (human). RNAcentral describes it as "HSALNT0051236". The record is from RNAcentral. Lineage: Eukaryota; Metazoa; Chordata; Mammalia; Primates; Hominidae.